Bactrocera dorsalis (oriental fruit fly) is the source of this 377-nucleotide long non-coding RNA. RefSeq lists it as uncharacterized. The transcript is spliced from 2 exons. The record is from RefSeq and is a predicted model, not a curated record. Lineage: Eukaryota; Metazoa; Arthropoda; Insecta; Diptera; Tephritidae.
UCCCCCUUACACAGGUAUACUUAAUGCAACAUUAGUUUCGGUUUGCCACGCCAUUUAGAAAUUAGUUGCACCAAUAAAAAUAAACAAGAAAUUACUAUUGAUUUGAUUUAAAUAUGCGCACAGGCUUCAAAAUCUAUAUUACUUGGCAAAUAGUUUCAUUCAAUCUAACAACAAUAUGACGCUUACUAUUGCAACACCUUUGCUUUUAUUACUUGCACUCAUAGGAAUGCUGUUAAUUCAGCAAUCUGUGGCUGGAAACUGCCGAGGGCGCGAUUGGGAUCCAUCAUGCAGAAUAUAAUUUGGGAACAGCUGCUCACAUAAUAGAAUUUUUAAACAAAACAAAAUGUGGCAAAACGAUCUUUUUACGAAAAUAAAUG